AUUGAACGCUGGCGGCAGGCCUAACACAUGCAAGUCGAACGAGUGGCGAACGGGUGAGUAAUGUCUGGGAAACUGCCUGAUGGAGGGGGAUAACUACUGGAAACGGUAGCUAAUAACGCAUACCAUCCGAUGUGCCCAGAUGGGAUUAGGUUGUUGGGGGGAAAACGACUCACAAAGGCGACGAUCCCUAGCUGGUCUGAGAGUAUGACCAGCCACACUGGAACUUAGACACGGCCCAGACUCCGAGGGGAGGCAGCAGUGGGAAUGAUUGCACAAUGGGCGCAAGCUGGAUGCAGACAUCCCGCGUGGAUGAGGAAGGCUUCCGGGUUGUAAAGUAUUUUAAGCGGGGAGGCGUUACCCGCAGAAGAAGCACCGGCUAACUCCGUGCCAGCAGCCGCGGUAAUAC
This 406-nucleotide ribosomal RNA is filed under the name uncultured bacterium. RNAcentral's name for it is "partial 16S ribosomal RNA". It matches the Rfam family "Bacterial small subunit ribosomal RNA", at positions 30 to 526 of the family's 1533-position model. The record is from RNAcentral.